GGCCGGUUGGCCCAAUGGCAAGGCGUCUGACUACGACUUCCCACAAUCCUCACUCUUGAGGAAUUGAAGAGAUCGUGUAAUCAGGAGAUUCUGGGUUCGACCCCCAGGCUGGUCA
This 115-nucleotide transfer RNA is filed under the name Colletotrichum orchidophilum. It matches the Rfam family "tRNA". Rfam says of the family: Transfer RNA (tRNA) molecules are approximately 80 nucleotides in length. Their secondary structure includes four short double-helical elements and three loops (D, anti-codon, and T loops). The record is from Rfam by way of RNAcentral. Lineage: Eukaryota; Fungi; Ascomycota; Sordariomycetes; Glomerellales; Glomerellaceae.